Molecule: long non-coding RNA, 254 nt
Filed under: Canis lupus familiaris (dog)
Lineage: Eukaryota; Metazoa; Chordata; Mammalia; Carnivora; Canidae
Description: lncRNA (ENSCAFG00030023684.1, ENSCAFG00040007489.1)
Source: RNAcentral
CUUGCCUGGAGAAGUAAGAUACUGUUGUCGCAGGAAUGCCAAAAUUUUCCGGAAGUGAAAAUUUUUGGAUUUUAGCUGUUUCAGUGCCAAGGUUGCUGGAAUCGGAAUGACCAGGAUGCAGCCUGGAGCAGAAAACCACUGUACUAUGAAGUUUUAAAUCACACUUAUAAGACCUUAUUAUCACUUAAUAUUGGCAAGUAUUAUUAUGAUUUUUGAUGUCUUUGUGAUAGUUGCUGAAGCUUGUGUCACCCUUC